CAAAUCGGAGCCUCGUGGAUGGCAGCAAGGUUUGGCAUGGUGCUUGUGUAGGUUUGGCAUGGUGCUUGUGUUUUAUGUGGGAUCUUUUCGGGCUUAUUUGGUUCGCGAAAAGCAUUUUUUUUUCUAAAAAUAUGAAUAUUGGGAAACAAAUUCAUAAGAAGAUAAUGCUUACGAAAAUAUUUUUGCCAUGUUUGAUUGGUCAUUAGAAAUGAACAAAUUUUCAAAAUGUUUAUGUUUGGAAAAAGUUAUUUAUAAUUUCUAUUAUAUUUUUAAUAAAAAUUUACUUUUUAAUAUUUUUAAUGCUUCUUUAAUAUUUAAAGUUUUUUUUGGGGUUUGGAAAAAGUUAUUUAUAAUUUCUAUUAUAUUUUCAGCUGAGUAGACAACAUAAUAGAAAUCGAGCAGUUAAGCAGCUGUAGAAAUAGAAAAGCAAAAAAAAAUUAAACAAAUGAAUGGUACAACUUUAGCUCAACAAAAUUAAGUUAUUUAUUUGCUCAAGUAUCAAUGUCGAACCCUAUUUAUCUGUUUGGUAGAGUAGGUAAUUUUUUUAUUUUAUGUUAGGUUUUUGUGUACUCAAGUACCGUUGUCGCGUUCUAUUUAUCUGUUUGGUAGGAUAGGUAAUUUUUUUAUUGUUUGGUAGGAUAGGUAAUUUUUUUAUUUUG
Molecule: long non-coding RNA, 659 nt
Filed under: Phoenix dactylifera (date palm)
Lineage: Eukaryota; Viridiplantae; Streptophyta; Magnoliopsida; Arecales; Arecaceae
Description: long non-coding RNA (PDAC_LNC019857)
Source: RNAcentral